Molecule: ribosomal RNA, 775 nt
Filed under: uncultured Neocallimastigales
Lineage: Eukaryota; Fungi; Neocallimastigomycota; Neocallimastigomycetes; Neocallimastigales
Description: partial large subunit ribosomal RNA
Rfam family: Eukaryotic large subunit ribosomal RNA
Source: RNAcentral
UAUGUGAUCGUCUCUCGCAUAUCAAUAAGCGGAGGAAAAGAAACUAACAAGGAUUCCCCUAGUAACGGCGAGUGAAGCGGGAAGAGCUCAAAUUUGAAAUCUUAAAGGGUUUCCCUUUACGAAUUGUAGUUUAAAGAAGUGUUUUCUGUUGAGGUUUUGGUAAAAGUUCUUUGGAAUAGGACAUCAUAGAGGGUGAGAAUCCCGUAUUUGACCUUUACUUUCAACUUUGUGAUACACUUUCAAAGAGUCGGAUUGUUUGGGAAUGCAGUCCAAAAUGGGUGGUAAAUUUCAUCUAAAGCUAAAUAUUGGCGAGAGACCGAUAGCGAACAAGUACUGUGAGGAAAGAUGAAAAGGAACUUUGAAAAGAGAGUUAAACAGUACGUGAAAUUGUCAAAAGGGAAGCGUUUGACACCAGUGUUGUUUUUCUGAAAAUCAAUGAAAGAACUGUUUAUGCUAAGCUGUUUAGACUUUAUCAGCUAUACUGUUUAGUUUUGAGCUUUUCUUUAAUGCACUUUUCAGUUAACAAGUCAACAUCAAUUUCUUUUGCUGUAAAAAAGCUUGAGGAAGGUGGCUUGAGAUUCGUCUUAAGUGUUUAUAGCCUCUUGCCUAUGCAGUCGGAGAGAUUGAGGUCUGCAGCGUAGAUCCUUCGGGGCUAAAUGCAUUUGUGCUAAGUUAUAGCAUUUUAUAGACAACUUGUUGACUAUGAUUUGUCUUGUAGCUUACUCGCUUAUGUUAUUUUACCUACGCUUAGGAUGUUGAUCUCUCACAGUCGAGC